Molecule: long non-coding RNA, 612 nt
Organism: Aethalodelphis obliquidens (Pacific white-sided dolphin)
Lineage: Eukaryota; Metazoa; Chordata; Mammalia; Artiodactyla; Delphinidae
Exons: 4
Source: RefSeq, a predicted model, not a curated record
GAUGGAGCAAUAGAGACCAGAUGUACCUUUCCCACCUGAAACAACUAAAAAGACAAGACAAAAUGUAUUAAAGAAUGGUUCUUGAGACACUGGACACUACACAGUGAAGAACAGUGAUCCCUGAGAGAUGAGAACCAAAUAAGAUCUUGGAAUGCUCCAGUCUUUUUGCAAAGUCGAUGAGUGGCUUCAGCCCUGGGGAAGAAGCCCGAAAGGUGACCAGAUGGAACCUGCAUUCACAGUCUUCAAAGUUCCCUUUUGAAACAUAAGGAAGAGAAUGAAGGGGAGAAGGAUUUCACACUUUCGGGCUUACAAUCUGAAGGUGUCCGUUCCUACACUGGUCAGACCACUGUCCUUGGGGCAGCUGGGGUCUUUGGGACCCUCCACCGGGCUCGCCGGUCCGUCGGACUUUUGGCUGAGAUCCGUGUCAGACUCCUCCGAAUAGUCGUCUGUUGGCAUCGAGGGCUGAACCCCUGAGGUGCUGCAUGAACUUGAGAGCGCGCUCUCGCACGCCAGGCAGUGGUACGAGCCGCCACCGCCGCCGCCGCCGCCGCCGCCGCCGCCGCCCGUGGGGACGUGAAGCACCAUCUCUUGCAGGUUCACCACAGACUGGCC